CCUACGGGGGACUGCAGUAGGGAAUAUUGCUCAAUGGGGGAAACCCUGAAGCAGCAACGCCGCGUGGAGGAUGAAGGUUUUCGGAUUGUAAACUCCUUUUGUUAGAGACGAUAAUGACGGUAUCUAACGAAUAAGCCCCGGCUAACUCCGUGCCAGCAGCCGCGGUAAUACGGAGGGUGGAAGCGUUACUCGGAAUCACUGGGCGUAAGGAGCGCGGAGGCGGGAUAGCAAGUCAGAUGUGAAAUCCUAUGGCUUAACCAUAGAACUGCAUUUGAAACUGUUAGUCUAGAGUAUGGGAGAGGUAGGUGGAAUUCUUGGUGUAGGGGUAAAAUCCGUAGAGAUCAAGAGGAAUACUCAUUGCGAAGGCGACCUGCUAGAACAUAACUGACGCUGAUGCGCGAAAGCGUGGGGAGCAAACAGGAUUAGAUACCCCGGUAGUC
Molecule: ribosomal RNA, 440 nt
Filed under: uncultured bacterium
Lineage: Bacteria
Description: partial 16S ribosomal RNA
Rfam family: Bacterial small subunit ribosomal RNA
Source: RNAcentral